AUAUCAAAGAUUCCAACACGUACCAGAGUACUAAGCUUUGCUAGUUCCUUUGCAAGAAUGCAAAGCACUGUUUCAGUGAUUUCAGAGACCCACUAGGUGUAAAGCAGCGAGCUUUGAUACUUCUUCAUCACUAAGCCACGUGCCUACUUCAACAGGCGUCAUUGCUUGAGUUCAGUUCUAGACUUCUAGAUUGGUUCAGAACUAAUCUAACUGAGAAAAGCUUUGGAAUUUAGACUCAACUUUCAUGGAGAUCUCUCUGGAAUUGUCAAUGUUGGGUUUUUCGUAGUGUUAUUGACGUGGGUUUUCCUAGAUACACUGAGAAGAAGAAGAGAUGGUGUACUGAAAAUGAGACAUAUUUGAGAGACAGAGCAAGCAGAGGAUGUAAAGGUUUUGCUUUGUUUUUCUCCCCCACUUAGGUUCAUCCCCUCUCCCCCACUAUAGUCAAAUCUACAUCUUCCCACAUUUUGACAUCCUGGUCCAAAGCACAAGCCUCCAAAACAUUCUCAUAAUAACCCUCAAUCAUCUCCUUGCCAAACAACACAUUCUCCAUUACAGUUGCAGUUUGAAUCCAAGAACUUUGUGGAACAUAAGCUUUUGUCCCAUAAACCUUUGCUCCUACCCCAGAAAUUUUGGGAAUCUCCCCAAGUAUACCACUCAGUAAGCUUGACUUGCCCAAACCAACAGAACCGCAAAUUGCUACCUUGUAUCCUUUCAUUAUCUCUAUCUUCUCCACAAUCUCCUGUCUCAAUUACAAUCAUGACGUUGGAUUCUUUUGAAGUAUGACCAGGAAUUAGCUUCAAUUGAUCUUCUUUGAUGAACUCUUUGAUACGAUCAACUGAUACCUUUGUUUGAGCAAUCAUGGAAAUGAGCUCUGGGAGGUUGUAGAUGGGCUCUUGAAGAAUUCUAAAAGUAGCCAAAGCAGACAAGACAGUUCCUGUGUUUUAAACGACUUUGUUUUAGGUUGUUUGAGGUUUAAAGCCCCUCCUAGGUCGCGACUUGCAGCAGACAAGAGCUGGGCUCUCCAUUUCAGUACCCGAACUUCCAGAAGGCAGCAAGAUCAUACAAAUCUCUUCGAACCCAUGAGUUUUCUGAAUGAUUUGGCUUUAACGGAGACUACUUUCGCACUUGGAGUUCUAGUGUUGGAGACUUGGAGUUCGAUUCGCAGGAAUGUUUGGAGAUUUGAAGGAAAUACUAAAUCUUAGAACCCAUUCAUCUGAAGAUUAGUGAUCAUCAUAAGACCAAACGUGAUGCGUAUUUGAAUCAGGGAGUUGAAAAGACCGAGGCUGAAAUGAACUGUUGUAUUAAGGUGCUUGGAGCUUUUUGGUAUUUAUUUUCCAUAGAAAGGAAAACAAUUUGUUGGGUAGAAGUAUGUAAAAAUCAAGGUGUUGCUUGUUCUUUGUAUUGCGAUGACACCAUGGUACUUAGAGCA
Long non-coding RNA from Rosa chinensis, 1429 nucleotides. RefSeq lists it as uncharacterized. The transcript has 4 exons. The record is from RefSeq and is a predicted model, not a curated record. Lineage: Eukaryota; Viridiplantae; Streptophyta; Magnoliopsida; Rosales; Rosaceae.